GCGAGCUUGGCGGAAUCGGUAGACGCACAAGACUUAAAAUCUUGAGUUCCAUAGGGACGUGGGGGUUCAAGUCCCCCAGCUCGCA
This 85-nucleotide transfer RNA is filed under the name Lasius niger. It matches the Rfam family "tRNA". Rfam says of the family: Transfer RNA (tRNA) molecules are approximately 80 nucleotides in length. Their secondary structure includes four short double-helical elements and three loops (D, anti-codon, and T loops). Further hydrogen bonds mediate the characteristic L-shaped molecular structure. tRNAs have two regions of fundamental functional importance: the anti-codon, which is responsible for specific mRNA codon recognition, and the 3' end, to which the tRNAs corresponding amino acid is attached (by aminoacyl-tRNA synthetases). tRNAs cope with the degeneracy of the genetic code in two manners: having more than one tRNA (with a specific anti-codon) for a particular amino acid; and 'wobble' base-pairing, i.e. permitting non-standard base-pairing at the 3rd anti-codon position. Lineage: Eukaryota; Metazoa; Arthropoda; Insecta; Hymenoptera; Formicidae. The record is from Rfam by way of RNAcentral.